GGGAAAGGGUGCAGGCUGGGGGGAGUAGCAAAGGAGUGGGGGAGAAAGAGAAGGAAUGGCUUGUAAAACAGGACUGCCUGCCAAGUUCUCAGGCACUCCUGGUACCUCUGCCCAUCACUCCUCAACUUCCAAGUUGGUGUCUGCCCUCUUUUGGAAACAGACCAUAAAGCUGUGAAGUUUAGGAAGCAUCUCUGGCACUUGAAGAUGCUCUAAAAGGUUUGGUUGACCAGAACUGGACACAUAGGAUCUACCAACAGGUGCUGCCCUUGCUCCGAAACCUGGAGGAAGGCGACCCAGAUCAUCCAAGACGCACCAGACGGCCUGGACUUCCACACCAGGACAUCAGCCCAGCUCUGCAGCAGACUGGGGGAGGGGGAGAGAGAAAGGAGAGGCAGUGAUGUUCCUGAGAUCCAAGUGUUGAGUCAGGCUUUUGGAUUUGGGCAGAUAAUUCUGCCUGCUGCUCACUCAUCUGGGGUGAAUGUCAGAACAGUACAUGGAGCCAUUUGACUCUUUUCAGGAAGCAUGGCAGAAACAAUGGCUGAAGAGGCAGCGGCAGAGCCUCCCUGCUGGAUGGCCCAGGGCUGUGUGUGUCUCCAUUUCCUGUGUGUAAGAACACUAUAUAAUAUAUAGUGAAGACAGUAACAGCUGUGGCAUAGCUGACAAGGAGCAGAAAAUGAGGCAAUGCAAGUUAAGUCUUGUGGUGGUUUGAAUGAGAAUGGCCUCCAUAGGCUCAUAUAUGUGAAUACUUGGUCCCCAGUUAGUGGGACUGUUUGAGAAAGAUUUGGAGGUGUGGCCUUGCUGGAAAAGGUAUGUCACUGGAGGUGGGCUCUGGGAUUUACAAAACAAAACAAAAAACCCUCUCACCGGUCCUGGUUAGCACUCUCUGCCUCUUGCUUGUGAAUCCAGAUGUGUGAUCUCAGCUGUUCUUUUGUUCCACCAUCAGGACUCCAACCCUCUGGAACUGUAACUACAAUCAAAAGCUCUCUUUUAUAAGUUGUCUUGAUCAUGAUUGUCUUGCCACAGCAAUAGAAAAGCAACUAAGACAGGCCUCUAGUAUGGAGUAAGUCCUCACCAACUGGUAGCAUGAAGAAAAUUGGAGCCUGAGUCUGAGGGAAGCCUCUUCAUGUGCUUCUCCUGUGAGGUAGCACAUUUAGAAAUAAGCGGAAACUUGGCCACAGGGCCGUGUAGACUUUUAUUGUUCUCUUUGCCUGUCUUUGUUGUGGAUGUAAACAUGUCUUCAUUUUGAUCCCAAGUGUAGGUUAUGGGACUGAUUCAGAUUGUCCACAGCAGCAAACUAUUUGCCUGGUACAGGUUCUGAGAAGGGCCCUUUGCCAGCUGCAGAGAGUUUAAAUCUGAGAGGGAAUAAAUGCCAGGGCUAAGAGAGAGACA
Molecule: long non-coding RNA, 1389 nt
Organism: Meriones unguiculatus (Mongolian gerbil)
Lineage: Eukaryota; Metazoa; Chordata; Mammalia; Rodentia; Muridae
Source: Ensembl